GCGUUUAUAGCUCAGUUGGUUAGAGCACCACCUUGACAUGGUGGGGGUCGUUGGUUCGAGUCCAAUU
RNAcentral lists this transfer RNA (67 nucleotides) under Klebsiella pneumoniae. RNAcentral describes it as "tRNA-Val". It matches the Rfam family "tRNA". Rfam says of the family: Transfer RNA (tRNA) molecules are approximately 80 nucleotides in length. Their secondary structure includes four short double-helical elements and three loops (D, anti-codon, and T loops). Lineage: Bacteria; Pseudomonadati; Pseudomonadota; Gammaproteobacteria; Enterobacterales; Enterobacteriaceae. The record is from RNAcentral.